UGAGGCCGUUGUUGUAAGCACAGUGCACGCCCUCACCAGAUGGAAAGUGUGGCCUCGACACUCUCGGUUUACGUGACCUGCGUGAGCCGAAGCAAUUGACCACUCAGCACCGACCGGCACACUGCCACUACCUACUCCACUCUCCUCGAACCCGAUUGUUAGCCCAAGAACAGACUCUGUUGGGUUACACACGGACGUCCCUACUAACAGUUCGUUCCAGGUUGUUAUGGAGUCUCGGGAACACCUUGCAGACGACACUCGCACUUGAAGCUUGACAGGUCUUCCGGGGUGAGGCGUGGGGCCGACCCGGGAUGAUGGCUGCAUCCGGUGGGGGGACGCGUUCUGGGGCCAGCAAAAUAAUACCGGGCUCAGAAGGCGCCGCGGGCAGGGAAUGUUGGCCCAAAACAAAUGUGAGUCUGUGGCAGUCUCACCCUGUUAUUGCUCCCCGGAGGCAGUAGCUCUGAUGCAUACACCGGCCUGCCCAACGGUGUCUAGCUAUUAAAUAACAAUGA
Scylla paramamosain (green mud crab) is the source of this 512-nucleotide long non-coding RNA. RefSeq lists it as uncharacterized. The transcript is spliced from 3 exons. The record is from RefSeq and is a predicted model, not a curated record. NCBI's taxonomy places the organism in Eukaryota, Metazoa, Arthropoda, Malacostraca, Decapoda, Portunidae.